Ochotona curzoniae (black-lipped pika) is the source of this 204-nucleotide long non-coding RNA. RefSeq lists it as uncharacterized. The transcript is spliced from 3 exons. The record is from RefSeq and is a predicted model, not a curated record. NCBI's taxonomy places the organism in Eukaryota, Metazoa, Chordata, Mammalia, Lagomorpha, Ochotonidae.
UGACAAGGGACUGUGAGCCUUCAUCACUCCUCAGUUGGAGAUCUAAUCCAGGACAGCAGGCUUCCGAAGACAUUCCAACCUGGAUCUCACUGAUGACCCAUACUAAAACCAUCACUAAGGCUGAAGUCUUCUGACAGCAGAAUAUCAAGCAAGGGGGAGAUCUGAAGAUACAGCUUUCCUUGAACUCAUUGACACCUCAAAUGG